RNAcentral lists this ribosomal RNA (309 nucleotides) under uncultured bacterium. Its description in RNAcentral is "partial 16S ribosomal RNA". It matches the Rfam family "Bacterial small subunit ribosomal RNA", at positions 504 to 808 of the family's 1533-position model. The record is from RNAcentral.
AGAGACAGCAGUCGCCCGGUAAAACGAAGGGUGCAAGCGUUAAUCGGAAUUACUGGGCGUAAAGCGUGCGUAGGCGGUGAGUUAAGUCUGUUGUGAAAUCCCCGGGCUCAACCUGGGAAUGGCAAUGGAUACUGGCAAGCUAGAGUGUGUCAGAGGAUGGUGGAAUUCCCGGUGUAGCGGUGAAAUGCGUAGAGAUCGGGAGGAACAUCAGUGGCGAAGGCGGCCAUCUGGGACAACACUGACGCUGAGGCACGAAAGCGUGGGGAGCAAACAGGAUUAGAUACCCCCGUAGUCCCUGUCUCUUAUACC